GCUUCUUCUCCCUCUCUUCUUAAUCAUUUAUUCCUUCUUCUUUUAUCCUUCUCUUCUUUUACUUCUUGUUCACUCGAGUAACAGAGAGAGUGAGAGGGAGAAAACAAGAGAGAUCGAGUGAGAUUGAGAGAGAGACAUCACAGAGAGAGAAAGAAAGGGAAUCGGUCGAGAGAUUGAGAUCGUCAGAGAAGAGGAGAGAACCCGGAGACCUGUGCUCAGAGCCGACGAACGAAGACCCGAUCAGAGGCCAAUAUCCAGUGGGUGGACUGGGUCAAUGCCGAUGAACCCAGAUGGAAACCAGACCUUUUAUGGUCGCCGAAGGUGCGAUUUCCAGCCGAUCGUCAAUGGUUGAUGAGGGAGACGACUUUUGGUGACUUGGAGCACGAAAUCCAGCGAUUUCCAGAGAUGAUUCCGACGAUUUUUCGAUGGUUUUUCCUUAGCUUCAAAGGGAAAUUCUCUAGAUGAUGAGUUAAGAGAUUGCACAAAAAGAGUUGUUUUAUAAAUGAAGAUUAGAGCGCAAGAGGUUUUAAAGCUAAUGAC
Molecule: long non-coding RNA, 540 nt
Organism: Alnus glutinosa
Lineage: Eukaryota; Viridiplantae; Streptophyta; Magnoliopsida; Fagales; Betulaceae
Exons: 3
Source: RefSeq, a predicted model, not a curated record